UUUUGUAUGUCCAUAUGAUAGGAUCGGCUACUCCGUGCCAGCAGNCGCGUAAUACGGAGGAUCCGAGCGUUAUCCGGAUUUAUNGGGUUAAAGGGAGCGUAGGUGGACAGUUAAGUCAGUUGUGAAAGUNUGCGGCUCAACCGUAAAAUUGCAGUUGAUACUGGCUGUCUUGAGUACAGUAGAGGUGGGCGGAAUUCGUGGUGUAGCGGUGAAAUGCUUAGAUAUCACGAAGAACUCCGAUUGCGAAGGCAGCUCACUGGACUGCAACUGACACUGAUGCUCGAAAGUGUGGGUAUCAAACAGGAUUAGAUACCCUGGUAGUCCACACAGUAAACGAUGAAUACUCGCUGUUUGCGAUAUACAGUAAGCGGCCAAGCGAAAGCAUUAAGUAUUCCACCUGGGGAGUACGCCGGCAACGGUGAAACUCAAAGGAAUUGACGGGGGCCCGCACAAGCGGAGGAACAUGUGGUUUAAUUCGAUGAUACGCGAGGAACCUUACCCGGGCUUAAAUUGCAUUUGAAUAAUCUGGAAACAGGUUAGCCGCAAGGCAAAUGUGAAGGUGCUGCAUGGUUGUCGUCAGCUCGUGCCGUGAGGUGUCGGCUUAAGUGCCAUAACGAGCGCAACCCUUAUCUUUAGUUACUAACAGGUCAUGCUGAGGACUCUAGAGAGACUGCCGUCGUAAGAUGUGAGGAAGGUGGGGAUGACGUCAAAUCAGCACGGCCCUUACGUCCGGGGCUACACACGUGUUACAAUGGGGGGUACAGAAGGCAGCUACCUGGUGACAGGAUGCUAAUCCCAAAAGCCUCUCUCAGUUCGGAUCGAAGUCUGCAACCCGACUUCGUGAAGCUGGAUUCGCUAGUAAUCGCGCAUCAGCCAUGGCGCGGUGAAUACGUUCCCGGGCCUUGUACACACCGCCCGUCAAGCCAUGAAAGCCCGGGGGUACCUGAAGUACGUAACCGCAAGGAGCGUCCUAGGGUAAAC
RNAcentral lists this ribosomal RNA (981 nucleotides) under Bacteroides thetaiotaomicron. Its description in RNAcentral is "bacterial SSU rRNA". It matches the Rfam family "Bacterial small subunit ribosomal RNA", at positions 467 to 1467 of the family's 1533-position model. Lineage: Bacteria; Pseudomonadati; Bacteroidota; Bacteroidia; Bacteroidales; Bacteroidaceae. The record is from RNAcentral.